GGAGAGAUGGCUUAGCAGUUAAGAGCUCUGGCUGUUCUUCCAUGGGCUCUAGGUUCAAUUCCUAGUAUUCUCA
RNAcentral lists this transfer RNA (73 nucleotides) under Cricetulus griseus (Chinese hamster). It matches the Rfam family "tRNA". Rfam says of the family: Transfer RNA (tRNA) molecules are approximately 80 nucleotides in length. Lineage: Eukaryota; Metazoa; Chordata; Mammalia; Rodentia; Cricetidae. The record is from Rfam by way of RNAcentral.